RNAcentral lists this long non-coding RNA (480 nucleotides) under Callithrix jacchus (white-tufted-ear marmoset). Its description in RNAcentral is "lncRNA (ENSCJAG00000075850.1)". Lineage: Eukaryota; Metazoa; Chordata; Mammalia; Primates; Cebidae. The record is from RNAcentral.
GGGAGAUGGGGCUAGUGGGAGGUGUUUGGGCCAUGGGGAUGGAUCCUUCCUGAAUGUUUUGGUACUGUUCUUGCAAUAAUGAGUUCUCACUGUGAUGAACCUGGAUAAUUUCCCACAGAAUGAAUUAGUUCCUGUUAAAUAGCCAGGAUGCUUCCGUAUUUUGUUUCUUCAGGUGUGUCUUCUUGCCCUUUGACCUUCAUCAUGCAUGCUAUGAGGCAGCACAAAAGCUCUCAUCAGAAGCCAGGGAUAUGCUCUCGAACUUCUCAGUCUGCAGAACUGUGCUGACAAUCUCUCAGGCUCAAGAGGCUAACAGGCCAUCACUCCUACCCUGUGCUUUUCCAAGGACAUGGACACAGGGGUGACCCCAACCCCUCCCAUUCCUCCAGCAACAAUGGGGUAUGUUGAUUUUGGGUCUCCUAAGGUUAGAGGCUCUCAUCACUUUGUCUAGAUCCAUUUACCAGUGACAACACCAAACAAUGC